Small nucleolar RNA from Acomys russatus (golden spiny mouse), 134 nucleotides. RefSeq annotates it as small nucleolar RNA SNORA17. NCBI's taxonomy places the organism in Eukaryota, Metazoa, Chordata, Mammalia, Rodentia, Muridae. The record is from RefSeq and is a predicted model, not a curated record. The transcript has a single exon.
CCUCCUUCUAGAGGUGUUGCAGGUGUGUGGCUUCUAUGUCAUAUAUGUGUCAGUAGGAGGUAGAGAAGAGAGAGGCUGUGUUUAAGCUCAGUGUUCUGACUUGUGAACAUCUGAAUGAUUAGUAACCUAACACU